AUUGAACGCUGGCGGCAGGCCUAACACAUGCAAGUCGAACGAGUGGCGGACGGGUGAGUAAUGUCUGGGAAACUGCCUGAUGGAGGGGGAUAACUACUGGAAACGGUAGCUAAUACCGCAUACCAUCGGAUUCGCCCAGAUGGGAUUAGCUAGUAGGUGGGGUAACGGCUCACCUAGGCGACGAUCCCUAGCUGGUCUGAGAGGAUGACCAGCCAAACUGGAACUGAGACACGGUCAAGACUCCUACGGGAGGCAGCAGUGGGGAAUAGUGCACAAGGGGCGCAAGCCUGAUGCAGCCAUGCCGCGUGUAGGAAGAGGGCCUUCGGGUUGUAAAGUACUUUCAGCGGGGAGGCGGUACCCGCAGAAGAAGCACCGGCUAACUCCGUGCCAGCAGCCGCGGUAAUUC
RNAcentral lists this ribosomal RNA (406 nucleotides) under uncultured bacterium. RNAcentral's name for it is "partial 16S ribosomal RNA". It matches the Rfam family "Bacterial small subunit ribosomal RNA", at positions 29 to 526 of the family's 1533-position model. The record is from RNAcentral.